Molecule: long non-coding RNA, 1076 nt
Organism: Uranotaenia lowii
Lineage: Eukaryota; Metazoa; Arthropoda; Insecta; Diptera; Culicidae
Exons: 4
Source: RefSeq, a predicted model, not a curated record
AGUGCCAUUGAACGCACUCGCGCAAUGACAGCAGGAGAAUUCGAAGAUGCGUUCGAAUGUGUAGGUGAGAAGUGAGUUCAGGAGUAUAGGCGGGAAAAAUAAAUCGAGAUAGAUUGUAAACAAAACAAAGAUUGUGGAAUUUCAAUGCAAGUAGUAUCGUUUGGUGAUCAGAAGAAAAUUAAAGCUAAGUUCGCAGUGGUUAUUGUUGAGUUUGAAUACUUACCCUAAAUUUACGUGCUAAGGCAUUUGCAACUUUAGUACGAAGGCGCGAAGUGAAACUGCGCAGGGAAGUUGAGCACAGGCUACAAUACCACGCAACGAAGCGUUUUCAAUUAGGAAUCGCCAGAUUGAACCGAAAUCGAAUUGAGGUGUAGGGACUAGCAGCGGAAAAUAGCUGGAAUCGAGACGGAAGUAAGCGAUAGGAAGUUCACUAAACGUAAGCUUGAAAAUUGUUCUUAGUGUAUUCCAAAAUUAAUUUGUAUUCAAAUCGUAGGAAUUUAAAACGUGUCCCGGUAGAGCUUCGAACGGACAAAUAAAAGGGAACGUUACGAAUCCGAAAACAAACUUUCGUUGUUACCACGAUCCGGAAGUAACAAUUUACAUUUUAAAUUCGUUUACGAAAAUGUCCGAUUCAGCCAGCACCGCAGCCACUGCUGCCCAAAAAGGUAAGAGCUUAGCGAGUAGUUCCCCUAAGGCGAAAAGUGAUACCCCCCCUCAACUCAAGUCCGUUGCUCUUGGCCCUAACACUGAGAACGGCAAAUCGAAACCAGGCACGACAAAAACCAAAAAGAAAACCUCUUCCGAAAAACAAUACCCUAUAGCCAAUAACAAUACUAGCCAUACUUCCUCCGCGAACACGGUCGUUAAUGUCGGUCACAGUUGUGGAACCUGUAAGUCGGUCGAUAACAGCCAGAUGGUUCAGUGCGAUGAUUGUGAUGGAUGGAACCAUUUUAGUUGUGUGGGAGUGAACCAAAGUGUGGAGAAUAGAAAGUGGAAUUGUGCACAGUGCCAGGCGAAGCAAAAGAAGAAGAAGACGGGUGCUACGAAGGUUGCCAGGAACACCGCUGCAGCGAAGA